ACGACCGCCGCGACAAAAGUUUGUUGUUUUGUUGUGCUGUCAUUUCAACUUUUCAGCAGAAUCGAGUGUUCGAGUAUUUUUUUUGCAUUAUUGCUCUUGUUUUCCGUCCUAAUCCUGUGCCACUUAUACACGUUCCAAAUAUUCAAGAACAAACUGAUUUACGAUGUCAUUGAUCAGCUGCUGGGAAAGUUCAACGAGAAGGCGGUGGAAUGUAUUCUGUUUAUGUUACGAUCCAUUGGCUUUGUGCUGCGGAAGGAUGACCCGCUGGCGCUGAAGGAUAUGAUCCGGAAGGUGCAGAAGAAGGCUGCCGAAGCCCCGGCUGAGCUGAAGAAUGACUCACGUGUGAAAUUCAUGUUGGAUACGCUGCUGGCAGUCAAGAACAACAACAAUCGACAAUGUGGAACAUUUUCGCAAGAUAUUGAAGGGCAUGAUCACAAGUGGGAAAUACGUCAGCACGUAAAACAUCGGAUUGGAUGAUCUGCUGAACGUAGACGAGCGUGGCAAAUGGUGGUUGGUCGGAUCGGCCUGGCAUGGAAAGAAUGAUGGUAAAGAUCCUGAAGCUGGAAAAAGCUCAACCGGCGGAAGCGCUGGUGGAUUCAGUCAACAGCUGCUGGAACUGGCUCGGAAACAGCGAAUGAACACCGAUGAUAAGCGGAAUGUUUUCUGCGCCAUUAUGAGCGCAGAGGAUUAUCUGGACGCAUUUGAUAAAAUCCUUCGUCUGUCCAUCAAGGACCAACGGGUGGUGGCCACAGUCAUACUGCACUGUUGUCUAUCGGAAAAGGACUACAACCCUUAUUAAAGUAUACUUUCGCAGAAAUUCUGUGAAUACGACCGUCGCUACCAGUUGGCCAUCCAGUACGCCAUCUGGGAUCGCCUGAAGGAAAUUCACUCGCUGAAGCAAGCGCCAUCUCGCAAUAUAGCCAAACUGCUAACCCACUUGAUCAGUGAAGGAGGCCUGGCCGUGUCCAUGCUGAAGGUGAUCGAAUUUGCCGAAAUCGAUAAGAUUACCCUGCGGGUGGUACGACAGAUCAUGUUGGGCAUUCUGCUGUUGGAGGACGAAAACAAAUGCCUUCAGGUGUUCAACCGUAUUGCUCCGAGCUUCAAACUGAAGGGCUUCAAGGGCAGUUUGCGGCUGUUUUUGCACCAUUUUCUGCUGAAGGGAAGCCACAAGUCGAGCGUUCCGGAGGAGCAACUGCAACUGUUGCAGCAGCGAAUUCGAAUGGCCGACCGGAUGCUGGGCACGUCGGAUUCACGGGUGCAGUUCUAGGUGUUUCUAGGUGUCGUAGAAAUAUUGUAAGUAUCAAGUAUCUAAUACAUAUAACAUAUAUUAUAACGUAAUAUAACAAUUACAUAUAACAUAUAAUAUAAGACGCCAACUUUUUACGAGUGAAAAAUAUAGAACAAGUAGUACACCGUCUUCAACCAGAGUUCCAAACCUUCCCUGAUUGGAGCGGGUCGGAAUCGAAUCCACACUCCGAGGCUUUUUAAACGCCUAGACGACUGACGCCACACAGCCACUAGUGUGAUCCACAAAUGUUGAUCUGCGAGAGGUUCCCGUUCUUAUCCCGGCACUUUUCGGUUCUCGGGACGACGCCCUUAAGGGGUUGGAUUGAGCUUCUGGUAGAACUUCCAAGUUUCUUGAGAACGGCACAGCAGCAGUUCCAUUUACUAGCACUCCUUUUAUUCUAUGAGCCGUUUCAUCUCCCAAAAGAGGCGGGUGUACUGCUUCCAAAAUCUUCCUACACUACUCGUUUCUUCGACUCUGUUCCAUGUACCCGACGGUGUUCUCGGUCGCGCCAUUUAUGACUGCUUUAACUGUACUCCAGCAGUUCUCGUUCUCUAGAGGGGCCUCAUUGAGUUCGACUUCGUCCGGCAACGCUGCAUCGAGAUUCUGCGCGUACCUAUGCUGAGGCGACAUCCAGUUGUAUCAGUUGUAGUAGGUCGUACCGCGGGCCGGUCGUCGGUGCAGUGGUGGUCAGAGAACGCCACGAUAGGUUCUGACGAUGAUAAUGUCGGAAAAGUGCCUUCCAUAGAUCAUUGCAUGGUCGAUUUGGGAUGCUGUCUGCUGUAGUGAGCUACAGGUGUAACGAUAAAGUAGGUUGUGUUGAAAAAAUAUACUAACGUAUGACCAUAUUCUUAGAGGCGCGAAAUCGAUGGGUCGUAGAUCGUUUUCGUGCUGUUGGGUGCUGAGUAUUUCAAUCUUUAAUCUGAAUUCCGCCUCCUGGUCUACCUGAGCAUUUAGGUCUCCUAUGAUGAUCUUGACAUCGUAGUUUGGGCUGCGGUCGAACUCGCGUUCAAGCUGCGCGUAGAAUGCGUCCUUGUUAUCAUCAGUGCUUCUGAAGUGAGGACUGUGCACGUGGAUUGCUGAAGUUGAUGAACCGGCCCUUAAAUCGCAAUCUGCACAUUGCUAUCUCCCACCAACCGAUCAAGCGCCUCUGCUUAUCGCACGAUGAAAGCUGCUCCUAGCUCGCUUGUGUCACCGCAGUUCUGGUAUAGCCACUUUCUCACGUUCGCACCAUGGGUCUUGUUCAACACACCAUCUUGUCGUAAGCCCCGGUAAAGUAUGAAACGUUUUGAUGGCUGUGAUCCCUGACCAUCAUGUAAUCAAAACCCCAGGGAUACCCAAGUGACCAUACUGCUGCGGUGUGGGGGUUGCAUGUGUGAUGUCCAUAUUGACAAGCAUUUCUAUGGACCCACAGACAAACAGACGUAACACUCUGAUAAUUCCCAUCGUACAUCGAUCUAACGGUCUAUUUGAACAUUUGAUAGUUGUUGGCCAACUCGCUAUUCGUGGCGCUCGUAUCGUUUUUGUUCGAGUUUGACGUUUGCUCACUACCUCCACCUAGUUGAUAGUUGGCCAAACUCAGUCCUUUUAGCAUUGGGCGAACAUGUUUUCGUGACCAUGAUUUGAAUCGAAAAAAAAAAUGUUCGAAGUGUUAGGUUUGUUUGUCCCUGGCCAAGUUCGCAGGGGUUGACGGUAUUAAAGUGAAGGAGUUUCAUUUUGAUUAUUAUAAUGUAGUGUUCUUUAGUGAAACAUAUCACCUUUUUAACACUUUAAUGCGCCUCCAACGGUUCAUCACGAACCGGCUGCUGCAGAUGGAGUACACCCGAUUCUUUUUUGCACGGGUCUGAUUUUUGCUUUAACUCAGUCAAUUUUUAACCGAUUCUCACGAAAUUUUGUACACUGAUAGUACUAAUCGUGCCUACAUGUGUACAAAAUUUCAUGAGAAUCGGUUGAAAAUUGACUGAGUUAUAGCAAAAACCAGACCCGUGCAAAAAAAUAAUCGGGUGUAUGGCUGAUCAUAUGCAUCAGACAUGCUCGAUAAACACGGAGGAACCGCCGGGGCUCAGUAGAUUCUAUUCCCAAGCAGUAGUUCGAAGUCGAUUGGAUUUGGGAAGGUUGUAGUGAUCGUUAAAAAUCCUAAUAAAAGUAUUAUAGGAUUUGUGACAGGUUUUGGAACCUUUACGGCCAGCUGACUUUGAAAUGUUGUUUGGGCUUUCUUUCUCACGUUUCUAUGCUGAUUUUGAUUAGUAAUUUAUUAAUGCCAUAGUCGCUUUUUCAAAUUUUGACUGUUGGUCAUAUUUUCUUUAAAUAAAGCAAAUAAAAUCAACCAACGAAUUAAUAGUGAGAAGGAGAUUUGCAGCACUUAAUUGUGCUGAUAGGUUCGAAGCUAACGUGCGAACACUUAAACGCAUUGUUGACGUCAAUGCGUUCGACGUGACAUUAUAGACAAAAACUGACUGUUUUAUUAACUGAACAACUUUACUUGUGUAUGACUAGGUUGACAUUUCUAGGCUACGUUUGAGAAAAUGGACCGAUAGGACAAUUGAACUAAUUUGAAUAUUUAUUUUAGCUUCACGGAAAAUUAUUUGAAUAAUUCCUGAAAAUUCCUAAAGAUUCUCAGAAAUUUCCAGUCAUCUGGGAUUUAUUCUAAGGAGUGUAGAAAAUAUUCUCUACCAUUUAUAGAAGUGAAUAGCUUCAAGGAAAAUAUUUGAAUAAUUCCUGAAAAUCCCUAAAGAUUCUCAGAAAUUCCCAGUCAUUUGGGAUUUAUUCGGUUAGGUAUAGAAAAUAUUCUCAUUCAUGAAGUGAAUAGCUUCACGGAAAAAUAUUUAAAUAAUUCCUGAAAAUCUAAAGAUUCUCAGAAAUUCCCAGUCAUCUGGGAUGUACUCUAAGGAGUAUAGAAAAUAUUCUCAACCAUUCAUAGAAGUGAAUAGCUUCUCGGAAAAAUAUUUAAAUAAUUCCGGGAAAUCCCAAAAGAUUCUCAGAAAUUCCCAGUCAUCUGAAAUUUAUUCUAAGGAAUAUAGAAAAUCUUCUCUACCAUUUAUAGAAGUGAAUAGCUUCACGGAAAAAUAUUUAAAUAAUUCCUGAAAAUCUAAAGAUUCUCAGAAAUUCACAGUCAUCUGGGAUAUAUUCUGUUAAGUAUAGAAAUAUUAUCAGUUGUUGAAGUGAAUAGCUUCACGGAAGAAUAUUUAAAUAAUUCCGGAAAAUCUCUAAAGAUUCUCAGAAGUUCCCAGUCAUUUGGGAUUUAUUUUAAGAAGCAUAGAAAAUAUUCUCAACCAUUUAUAGAAGUGAAUAGCUUCACGGAAAAUAUUUGAAUAAUUCCUGAAAAUCCUUAAAGAUUCUCAGAAAUUCCCAGUCAUCUGGAAUUUAUUCUAAGGAGUAUAGAAAAUAUUCUCUACCAUUUAUAGAAGUAAAUAGCUUCACGGAAAAAUAUUUAAAUAAUUCCCGAAAAUCUAAAGAUUCUCAGAAAUUCCCAGUCAUUUGGAAUUUAUUCUAAGGAGUAUAGAAAAUAUUCUCUACCAUUUAUAGAAGUGAAUAGCUUCUCGGAAAAAUAUUUAAAUAAUUCCUGAAAAUCUAAAGAUUCUCAGAAAUUCACAGUCAUUUGGGAUAUAUUCUGUUAAGUAUAGAAAUAACUAUUAUCAUUCGUUGAAGUGAAUAGCUUCACGGAAAAAUAUUUAAAUAAUUCCGGAAAAUCUCUAAAGAUUCUCAGAAGUUCCCAGUCAUUUGGGAUUUAUUCUAAGGAGUAUAGAAAAUAAAAAAAAAUAUUUUAUACGAUUGAAGUUAGGUAGAUUCUCCCGACAAGAAAUUAUCACUUUCAUAAUAGCGUUUCCUCCUGCUCGGAUUACCGCCACCGUCAGCAGUACCACAAAUAUAGCUGUUUCGAGAUGAUCUCCUGGGAGUUAUUCACGAAGAACCCUGCGUCGCACAUGAUUUAUUUAUUUAUUUAUUUAUUUAUUUGUAAGUUAAUUCAUCUGACAAUAGUUAUUAGUCUUAAUGAAUCUUAUAUACUAUUUCUAAAACUAUUUACACUCAUUCCGAAGUCAAAAUUAGGAUACGCUUCAUUAAAAAUACUCAUCAUUGAGCGAAUGGGCUCAUUAACAUCAUAGUUAUAAAAAGGACGAGGAAGGCGAAAGAGGUCGUUUGAGCGAAGCGUAUAAGCGGGCACAUUUAUAUCCAACGACGCCAGCAGAAAGGGAGCAUCUAUUUUACCGGCCAGGAUUUUAAAGACAAACACUGCCUUAGCAGCUUUCCUACGAUGUUCCAAUGUCUCGAUGUUUAUCAGUCGGCAUCUCGCUUCAUACGGUGGCAGAUUGUAGGGAUUGUGGUACCUUGUGGUAUGCACAUAAUAAAUUAUUGUAUUACUCUAUUACGUUUAGCGUGUAUGUUUACAUUGAGUAUCUGUCAUAUGCGGAGAUGUUGUUAUUGUUGUCUGGAGUGUGAAUCAUUGUAUGUAAUAUUGAAGUAUCGGUAAUAAAGUGUAUACAAAUAAUGAAUACAGUUGUUGAAUAAUCAUUACAGAGAAAGAUUCUCACAUUGGCGACGAGAACGGUGAACAGUGCAUGUGAAAUUAGUUUAGUUUCUGUUCGGGAAGUGUUGUCUUUGGAAAAAGAAAGAGAUGAGUGGUGUGUGUGUGUGUGUGUGGUGCAUGUAGAGUGGUGAUGACCUCCAGGUGAUGACUUGUGAUUGAAUUUCAACAUUGGAAUCAAAAAGGUAAAUAUUGUGUACUAACUGUUCAAUAUGAAUCAAACAAUCUAUUUGUACCUUCGACUAAUGACAAUGAUCAACCUGUGAGAGAUUUUGAUGGUGAUCGGUAUUGUUUAGUUCAAAUCGAUGACAAUCACUAUUGUCAGAUAAAGAAAUAAAGAACUGUGAAGAAAAUCUAAGUUUUGUUGAUUGUGAUAUUGAUACUCGUUGAAUAGGGUUGUUGUCCUAAAUCUAGACUCAAAUGCUUAAUGAUGAAUGAAGUAUUGAUUUGUUAACCGGAUGGCCGAGGAAGGCGUAGAGGUGAAACAAUAUUUUGAAAUCAAAUUUUGCUGUUGCUGUUAAAAGCCAGUGAAGGCGAUGAAAGCCAAUGAAGGCGAUAAAAGCUAAUGAAGGCGACAUUCUUGAAAUAGCCGUAAAAGGCGGAAAGGAUUACAGAUAGAAAAGCCGUUGAAGGCGGAAAAAUGUUAUAGGCAGAAGAGCCGACUAAGGCGAAAAACUGUCGAUGGCGGAAAGAUCCGUCGGAGAGUGAAAAGCUGUUGAAGGCGGAAAAGGCCGUUGAAGGUGGAAAUGCCGUUGAAGGCGGUAAGACCUGCAAGGCAGAUAUAGUCGAUUCUUUGUAGAGCCGUAUAAGGCGAAUUGCGCUAUUAAAAAUUAAAGUACUAAAAACGCAACAGUGUCGUAAAUUUCGUAAGAAACAGAUUACCAGCCAACGCAGAUUUAAGGGCUGUUUGCAGAUCAGAAGGAAUUUCUCGGCCUAUCUUGAGGCAUGGGAAAUUCCUUGGCUGAAUCACUCAAGAAACCGUUUUUUCUUCGAUCGCAGUAGGCAGUUGCGAAGAAAUGACAGUUCAAAUGGCAGUCACCGUAGAAAGUUUCUGCCAGGAAUCGUUCUAGAAGUUUCUUGAGCGAUUUCUCUUGAACUCCAAUCUGGGCUUUUUAGUUAAAUUGAACCAUUAAAAAUGAAAUUUCACACCAAUAAAGUGGCAGCUGAGAAGGCGAAAGACAAAACUAAACUUUAGGCUGAGCGUGACUAGAAAAACAGGAACGAAUAGUAUUUGAAUAUGUUCCAAAUGCGAACAUAACUGAGCAGAUACUGAGAUUGUUGUGGACCCACCUCAGGUGAUAUAUAUUGAAGUUAUCAUUGCUCAGUAAAGUAUAAUAAGUCUACGGAGACGUAAAAAGGGUUGGCUCUUGAAACCAAAUUAACAUGAAGACAUGAUUUAACUAGUGCUUUGUCCUCUCUUACAAGACUAAAAAUGUAACUUCAAGAAAAUUAACAUCAAUGUGUGAGAAUAAUUAAACUGUCUUGGUAGUUUGCAAGAUAGGAAGUCAAAAUAAAGCAUUCGUUGAAGCUAGACGACAUAUUCAGAGCAGUUGCUAACCACUAACCUGUUAAGUAUCAUGCUAGUCAAAUGGCUAGUUGAAUUGGAUAUUUAAAAAAAUCGAACAAUAAAAAAAUGAAACUUUUCGGCUUAACUAGAAGUCUCAGGAAUUCGAGUAAAAAGCGCUUUAUAACCUAUUGAAUGCCACUAAAUGUUUAUGCGAUUCAAGUACAGUGAGUUCUUGAGUAAUCACUUCUGAAGUCUUUGAAUAUAAAAUGUAUCGGGUGUGGUCAGGAGGGGCAUUUUGACUUAUGAUUGCCUAACACUGGAUAUAGUGCCAUUUUUGCUAAUGAGUGGGCCAUCUUGCUAAGAACUGUGGCACAAGUUAGAGAACAAGGUACAGCAGUACGCUCAACAACAAAUUCUGCACAAUAAUUUCCUUACAGGAAGAGACAAAUUUUGAUCAGUUAAAGAAGUAUUGAAACUAUUAUUCAGGAGAAUAACGUACAGUAUAUCAAAAGCACAAGAUAUUGGAAUAAUAAAAGAUAAUCAUUUCUGUAGCUACAGGAAUAGAUAUAUCUAAUGAAAGCUGGAUUAUGAGGUUUGUUUUUCAGUCGAGCUUAUUAAUGCAAACAGGUACCAUUUACUAACAUGUUACCUUGUUUGAAUUUUUAAACUGAAAAAAAACUGCAAAUAUUGUAUGCAUGUGUCGCUCACAUAGAUUUUUGCAAUUUGUCAUAGAUAACCCUUUUCAUGUGUAGAUACACAUAGUUUAUAUAAGGUCCAUCGAUUUUAUGUGUGAUCCAGCGUGGAAAACGAGUAUGUGUGUACAAAUAAAAUUUAUAUAUCAAAUUCAUGGAUUUUUACCAAUAAAAAUGCGUGUACAUGUAUAAGUGAUAUUUGUGUUAAUAAGUUUAUUGAAAAUUUGAAUAAAAACGUGCUUUAAAUUGUUUCAGUACAAAGAAAUGAAUCGUAGAGGCAAGCAUAAGGGCCAUCAUGACACAGACAAUCAUGGUCAGUGUGCACUACGUCAGACUUGUAGUCGUUAACAAAAAAAAUGAGGAUGUAUUUCAUCGAAAAAAUGUGAAAUAAGUGAUAUGUUAGACAGAUGAUUGGGCUUUGAAAUAAUGCAGAAUAUUCUAGUUCGAUCCAACGAACUGAGAAUAUUAUCAAUAUGAUGAGCAUAUGUAGAAAAUCAGAGUUACUUAAAGAUAAAAAGUUCUAAGUUUUGACGGUAUAUUGAAUGCGAAUAAUUUGGAAAAGGCUUGUUGAAAUAGCAUCAUUAGGUAUCUAGAGUGAAAACAUAACAUGUUGAGAGGCGUUUGCAAUAUUUUGGAGGUACACCAUUAAAAUAAGUCCUACAGUUCAGAACCCAAAAGAGCGACAUCAAAGGAACAAAUUUUUGGUUUUGUAAUGUUAAAAUAGGUUUAAUUGAGCACGAAUCACCAGUUAAUGCGGGAAAAUAUGCAUCGUAGAAUGUAAACCUAUUCAACGACCAAACCGCAAAAAUAAACUCAUUCAGUUUUAAAGGUAAAUGGUAAAUCAUGAGAAUUCCGAAAUUAUCGGAAACAUGAUUCCUAAAAACGUGGACACCUAUUUAUUUUGUUAUCUGGAGAAAAUUGCUUUGUAUAUAAUAAUUGGCUACUAUCAUUACGUUUUCGGUUGGAAGCCGAAGUGACUGGCGGUGCGAAAAUUGAUGUUUAACCUACUUAUAAACAUAGCAACUCGAUUUAGAUUAGUGCUAAUUUCAGCUCUUAAGUAGCUUAAUGAUGCGCAAUACCAGCAACCAGUUCAAAUUUACGUCACAACUGCAACUUUGCAUGUGCUUAAAUGCAUGACUUCGAUUUGGUACUGCGACGAUGAUGUAUGUAUUAAGAAUUUGAGAUAAUUAUAGGAUUACAACAUGAAAAAAAAGAAUGAAUAUUAAUAUUCUACUAUACUUUCAAACAGCUAGUGCGGGUGCGAGUUUUGUGAACAAUAUAUAUUAAAUGUAAUUCAAAAACUGGAUGUUUUCAAAUUACUAUUUAGCUAAAACUAGUAUUACAAAUAUUGCUUUGGACAAGUGACGUUUUUCGAAAUCGUGAUUUGAUUUAAAAAAGUAUCAAUCCCAUCGAUAUUUAGAAAACAAAAUCUGUAAAGCCAAACUUCUGAAUAUAUUCUGAACAAGAAACGAGUUCCAGCAAAGUUCGCUAAAAAAAAACAUGAAAUGAAAUAGUGUUUGUAUGACACUUGGACACUUUGGAUCGAAAACGAGUUAAUGGAUAUUGAUAAUUUUUCCACUGUAACAUUCGUGCAGUGUUCCGACAUAUUAGUUAAAAAAAUGUCUGAAUAAUAAUCUGAAUAUACAUACCUUUUGUAUGAUAUUCUUCUAUGAAAGGACAUGUCAAAAAAAAUCAGUGGGCAGUAUACAAUGUUUGCAUGCUAGCUGUCAUUGAAAGCAUUUGAGAAGAGGAAAGCAAUUCAAUUAAUUCAUCAGCAAAGGUAAUAUUUAGCUUGACACUCAGUAUUAAAAAUAUUUUGGGAUUUGGGAAAAUAUUUGGGUCAAAAUAAUAUUUCUUUUUAGGUACAACCGUACAACCACAAGUAACGGCCAAGUAAUUUACUAAAAUGCCGAGCAGAGAUGGAUGACCAAAUGGAUGACUGUACUUCUAAUUCUGAUGUGAGACUGAAGCGAGACGUUCAUAAACUGAGGAGACUAUAAGCGAAACAACGUGGAGUGACCUUGCUGCGGAUCUGGAGAAAAAACGAGAUGUGGUACCUUGUGGUAUGCACAUAAUAAAUUAUUGUAUUACUCUAUUACGUUUAGCGUGUAUGUUUACAUUGAGUAUCUGUCAUAUGCGGAGAUGUUGUUAUUGUUGUCUGGAGUGUGAAUCAUUGUAUGUAAUAUUGAAGUAUCGGUAAUAAAGUGUAUACAAAUAAUGAA
Molecule: long non-coding RNA, 10228 nt
Organism: Aedes albopictus (Asian tiger mosquito)
Lineage: Eukaryota; Metazoa; Arthropoda; Insecta; Diptera; Culicidae
Exons: 3
Source: RefSeq, a predicted model, not a curated record